Molecule: ribosomal RNA, 460 nt
Filed under: uncultured bacterium
Lineage: Bacteria
Description: bacterial SSU rRNA
Rfam family: Bacterial small subunit ribosomal RNA
Source: RNAcentral
GAUAUCUUAGUAGCGGACGGGUGAGUAACGCGUGAGCAACCUACCUUUGUGAGGGGGACAACAGCUGGAAACGGCUGCUAAUACCGCAUAAGACCACGGUUCCGAAUGGGACUGAGGUAAAAGAUUUAUCGCACAAAGAUGGGCUCGCGUCCCAUUAGCUAGUUGGUGAGGUAACGGCUCACCAAGGCAACGAUGGGUAGCCGACCUGAGAGGGUGAUCGGCCACACUGGAACUGAGACACGGUCCAGACUCCUACGGGAGGCAGCAGUGGGGAAUAUUGGGCAAUGGGCGCAAGCCUGACCCAGCAACGCCGCGUGAGGGAAGAAGGUCUUCGGAUUGUAAACCUCUGUCCCACGGGACGAAAAAAAUGACGGUACCGGGGGAGGAAGCUCCGGCUAACUACGUGCCAGCAGCCGCGGUAAUACGUAGGGAGCAAGCGUUGUCCGGAAUUACUGGGCGU